CCCAAUUGAUUGAUGGUGCUUGCACCUCUUUGAUUUUGGUCGCCAACGAGUGGCGGACGGGUGAGCAACACGUAGAUAACCUGCCCAGAAGCGGGGGACAACAUUUGGAAACAGAUGCUAAUACCGCAUAACAACGUUGUUCGCAUGAACAACGCUUAAAAGAUGGCUUCUCGCUAUCACUUCUGGAUGGACCUGCGGUGCAUUAGCUUGUUGGUGGGGUAACGGCCUACCAAGGCGAUGAUGCAUAGCCGAGUUGAGAGACUGAUCGGCCACAAUGGGACUGAGACACGGCCCAUACUCCUACGGGAGGCAGCAGUAGGGAAUCUUCCACAAUGGGCGCAAGCCUGAUGGAGCAACACCGCGUGAGUGAAGAAGGGCUUCGGCUCGUAAAGCUCUGUUGUUAAAGAAGAACACGUAUGAGAGUAACUGUUCAUACGUUGACGGUAUUUAACCAGAAAGUCACGGCUAACUACGUGCCAGCAGCCGCGGUAAUACGUAGGUGGCAAGCGUUAUCCGGAUUUAUUGGGCGUAAAGAGAGUGCAGGCGGUUUUCUAAGUCUGAUGUGAAAGCCUUCGGCUUAACCGGAGAAGUGCAUCGGAAACUGGAUAACUUGAGUGCGGAAGAGGGUAGUGGAACUCCAUGUGUAGCGGUGGAAUGCGUAGAUAUAUGGAAGAACACCAGUGGCGAAGGCGGCUACCUGGUCUGCAACUGACGCUGAGACUCGAAAGCAUGGGUAGCGAACAGGAUUAGAUACCCUGGUAGUCCAUGCCGUAAACGAUGAGUGCUAGGUGUUGGAGGGUUUCC
Molecule: ribosomal RNA, 804 nt
Filed under: uncultured bacterium
Lineage: Bacteria
Description: bacterial SSU rRNA
Rfam family: Bacterial small subunit ribosomal RNA
Source: RNAcentral